GCUGGGCAUGGUGGUGUGUGCCUGUAAUCCCAGCUACUCGGGAGGCUGAGGCAGGAGGAUCGCUUGAACCCGGGAGGAAGAGGUUGCAGUGAGCUGAGACUGCGCCACUGAACUCCAGCCUGGGUGACAGAGCAAGACUCUGUCUCAA
Unclassified non-coding RNA from Pongo abelii (Sumatran orangutan), 148 nucleotides. It matches the Rfam family "Metazoan signal recognition particle RNA". From Rfam's summary of the family: The signal recognition particle (SRP) is a universally conserved ribonucleoprotein. It is involved in the co-translational targeting of proteins to membranes. The eukaryotic SRP consists of a 300-nucleotide 7S RNA and six proteins: SRPs 72, 68, 54, 19, 14, and 9. NCBI's taxonomy places the organism in Eukaryota, Metazoa, Chordata, Mammalia, Primates, Hominidae. The record is from Ensembl.